UACAGAGGUCUCAAGCGUUGUUCGGAUUUAUUGGGCGUAAAGGGCGCGUAGGCGGCGUGGUAAGUCAGAUGUGAAAUCCCGGGGCUCAACCCCGGAACUGCAUCCGAUACUGCCAUGCUAGAGGAUUGGAGAGGUAGCUGGAAUUCUUGGUGUAGCAGUGAAAUGCGUAGAGAUCAAGAGGAACACGCGUGGCGAAAGCGAGCUACUGGACAAUUCCUGACGCUGAGGCUCGAAGGCUAGGGUAGCGAAAGGG
This 253-nucleotide ribosomal RNA is filed under the name uncultured bacterium. RNAcentral's name for it is "partial 16S ribosomal RNA". It matches the Rfam family "Bacterial small subunit ribosomal RNA", at positions 524 to 776 of the family's 1533-position model. The record is from RNAcentral.